ACUUUCAAACCAGGAUUUUUUUAACAACAAUUCAAGAAUACCACAGAAUAAAAAUACAACAUAAAUACCACAUUUUGGAAGGUGUUUGGGAAUGGUCAAAUUUCGCGCGAAAUAUUUGAUUGACCUUUUGUGUCCGACCAUUACAAAAUUUUCUUUUUAUUUAGCCUUCACCGCGCCUAAUAAAAAAUUAGCUCGUAACGUUAACCGUAUGUACAUUGCGCUUAUACAUAUUUGGAUAGCAAUAUUAUGACGUAAAAGAAGGAUGGAUCGAUUUAAUUCAAAGGCGUAUUAGGUGGGUGCAACUACCUUCGAGAAACUAGACUACAGUUAAGUCGUAUUUUAUAUCAACUAGAAUAGGAAGGUGAUAAAAGAUAAUGGUAUACUGAAAAGAGUUCACAACACUACGUUUAACUCCAUAUACGUUUAUACGUGAAUACGUUGAUGUCGAUUGCUAAUUAGUAUUCGCGGUUAGAAUGUCAUUCACCGGAAAAUCGCAUCAAUCGAUUUAUAGGACCAGAUGAAAAAGCUUCAUUCGAUAAUCGACCAACGAUUAAUUGAUUUCAAACAUCCGGUGUAUUCGAUGAAACGCAGUUAUAUCAUCGACACUGGACAUGUCUGAAUUUACACGUUCACGAAUCUGUUCGAGCUGAAGGUAUCUUGGAAGAGAUGAUAGAAUAAUAAUAAUGAGAACUGAAUACUUCAAUCAAAACUUAACCUCUAUUUACUGAACAAGUUAAUUAAUUCCCACAGGUUGAAAAUAUAUUGUUCUCAAGAUAAUACUUUGUAUUGUAAGCAAAAAUAUAUUCAAAUAAAUAGUUAAUACCUUUA
Osmia bicornis bicornis is the source of this 828-nucleotide long non-coding RNA. RefSeq lists it as uncharacterized. The transcript has 2 exons. The record is from RefSeq and is a predicted model, not a curated record. NCBI's taxonomy places the organism in Eukaryota, Metazoa, Arthropoda, Insecta, Hymenoptera, Megachilidae.